This is a non-coding RNA of Otolemur garnettii (small-eared galago), 296 nucleotides long. The record is from Rfam. Lineage: Eukaryota; Metazoa; Chordata; Mammalia; Primates; Galagidae.
GCUGGGUAUGAUACCACAUGCCUAUAUUCCCACCUACUUAAGAGGGUGAGGCAGGAGGAUAGCUUGAGUCUAGGAGCUCUGCACUGUAGUGUGCUGUACCAAUUGGGUGGUCUGCAUUAAGUUCAGCAUCAAUAUAGCGACCUUCCAGGAUCAGGCAACCACUAGUUUCCCUAAGGGCACAUGAACCAGCCCAGGUUGGAAACAGAGCAUGAACUCCUAUGCUGAUCAGUUGUGAGAUCUCACUGUGAAUAACCACUGAACUCCAGCCUGGGCAACAUAGCAAGACCCUGUCUCUU